AAGAGGCCAGGCUUGGCUCUUUUUCCUUUUUUAUUAUGCACACCAUGUUUCUGUAUAUCUCAGAUGAUCUUAGCGGAGCAAGUGUACACACUGGAUUGUAAAUUUUUAAAACUUCCUAUUAUUCGGAUGCCUCAACGUCCCUACAAGCAGGCUGUGAGCACUCGCCCAGGCACCCAGGAGUCCAAGGCCACCAGAAGUCAUCCUUGAGCCUUUCAUGCAUGCACCAAGAUUGGCAAGACAGAGUGGAGAAAAGUAAUUCAGUUGACUGAGAUACAAACCUUUUCCAGAAAAACAAGAUCUAAGAAGAGAAAAACAUAAAGGCGUUUCAAGGACACCUAUAACUUGGGUAUCCACUUUUAAUUAAGCUGAGUGCUCUUUCAUAAAAUUCUUCUUUACUAAUUAAAACUUUACAGAUAAUAUAAA
Molecule: long non-coding RNA, 423 nt
Organism: Homo sapiens (human)
Lineage: Eukaryota; Metazoa; Chordata; Mammalia; Primates; Hominidae
Exons: 2
Source: RefSeq, a predicted model, not a curated record